Molecule: non-coding RNA, 113 nt
Organism: Acanthosepion pharaonis
Lineage: Eukaryota; Metazoa; Mollusca; Cephalopoda; Sepiida; Sepiidae
Source: the annotation of a GenBank genome assembly
UUACGGCCAUAUCACGUUGAAACACUGGUUUUCGUACGAUCAGCGAAGAUAAGCAACUUCGAGGCUGGUCAGCACCUGGAUGGGUGACCGCUUGAGAAUACCAGGUGCUGUAA